UAGAGAAUCUUCGGCAAUGGACGAAAGUCUGACCGAGCAACGCCGCGUGAGUGAAGAAGGUUUUCGGAUCGUAAAACUCUGUUGGUAGAGAAGAACGUUGGUGAGAGUGGAAAGCUCAUCAAGUGACGGUAACUACCCAGAAAGGGACGGCUAACUACGUGCCAU
RNAcentral lists this ribosomal RNA (165 nucleotides) under uncultured bacterium. RNAcentral's name for it is "partial 16S rRNA". It matches the Rfam family "Bacterial small subunit ribosomal RNA", at positions 355 to 511 of the family's 1533-position model. The record is from RNAcentral.